GGAGAGGAACUUGUUCCUCGAGUCGUUGAUUUCACACUGCCGAGAAAAGCCUCUAGCUAGAAUAACGGUGCCCGUACCGCAAACCGACACAGGUAGUCAAGAUGAGAAUUCUAAGGUGAGCGAGCGAACUCUCGUUAAGGAACUCGGCAAAAUGACCCCGUAACUUCGGGAGAAGGGGUGCUCUUUGAGGUUCACGCUUCGAAGAGCCGCAGUGAAUAGGCCCAAGCGACUGUUUAUCAAAAACACAGGUCUCUGCUAAACCGUAAGGUGACGUAUAGGGGCUGACGCCUGCCCGGUGCUGGAAGGUUAAGAGGAGUGGUUAGCGCAAGCGAAGCUACGAAUCGAAGCCCCAGUAAACGGCGGCCGUAACUAUAACGGUCCUAAGGUAGCGAAAUUCCUUGUCGGGUAAGUUCCGACCCGCACGAAAGGCGUAACGAUUUGGGCACUGUCUCAACGAGAGACUCGGUGAAAUCAUAGUACCGGUGAAGAUGCCGGUUACCCGCGACAGGACGGAAAGACCCCGUGGAGCUUUACUGUAGCCUGAUAUUGAAAUUCGGUACAGUUUGUACAGGAUAGGUAGGAGCCUUAGAAGCGUGAGCGCUAGCUUACGUGGAGGCAUUGGUGGGAUACUACCCUAAUUGUAUUGGAUUUCUAACCCGCAGCACUUAUCGUGCUGGGAGACAGUGUCAGGCGGGCAGUUUGACUGGGGCGGUCGCCUCCUAAAGAGUAACGGAGGCGCUCAAAGGUUCCCUCAGAAUGGUUGGAAAUCAUUCAUAGAGUGUAAAGGCAUAAGGGAGCUUGACUGCGAGACCUACAAGUCGAGCAGGGUCGAAAGACGGACUUAGUGAUCCGGUGGUUCCGCAUGGAAGGGCCAUCGCUCAACGGAUAAAAGCUACCCCGGGGAUAACAGGCUUAUCUCCCCCAAGAGUUCACAUCGACGGGGAGGUUUGGCACCUCGAUGUCGGCUCAUCGCAUCCUGGGGCUGUAGUCGGUCCCAAGGGUUGGGCUGUUCGCCCAUUAAAGCGGUACGCGAGCUGGGUUCAGAACGUCGUGAGACAGUUCGGUCCCUAUCCGUCGUGGGCGUAGGAAAUUUGAGAGGAGCUGUCCUUAGUACGAGAGGACCGGGAUGGACAUACCUCUGGUGUACCAGUUGUCGUGCCAACGGCAUAGCUGGGUAGCUAUGUAUGGACGGGAUAAGUGCUGAAAGCAUCUAAGCAUGAAGCCCCCCUCGAGAUGAGAUUUCCCAACUUCGGUUAUAAG
RNAcentral lists this ribosomal RNA (1260 nucleotides) under Staphylococcus pseudintermedius. RNAcentral describes it as "partial 23S ribosomal RNA". It matches the Rfam family "Bacterial large subunit ribosomal RNA", at positions 1569 to 2832 of the family's 2925-position model. Lineage: Bacteria; Bacillati; Bacillota; Bacilli; Caryophanales; Staphylococcaceae. The record is from RNAcentral.